Molecule: long non-coding RNA, 3705 nt
Organism: Balaenoptera acutorostrata (minke whale)
Lineage: Eukaryota; Metazoa; Chordata; Mammalia; Artiodactyla; Balaenopteridae
Exons: 5
Source: RefSeq, a predicted model, not a curated record
CUCUGACCAAGUCCGAGGCCGCCGGGCUCAUGGGAGAGGCACCCCUCCGCCCCAGGCCGCCUCGUGCGUAUGGCGUCGCCCCAGUCUUCCGAACAGCUAACCUCGAACUAGGAUGCGGCCCUCUGCGCCACCCCGUGGGAACCAAGGGUACCAAAGCCUCCCGGGGAGACCGGCCUUGGACAAGAGAACGUUCCUCGCAAGCGGAUUUUUUUCCUCAUAUCGUUGUUUUUAAAGACUUUGUCUCCCAAUCAAGAGAAUGAUUUGACUCUACUCUGUCCAUCCUAUCCCCGGCCUCUAUACGCCCCGCUACCCCCAACAGUUGAUUGCAUCCAUGGACACAGAACCCAAGGAUACAGAGGGCCUUGAAUUUGAGUAAAUGAGACAGGUCUCUCUAUUCCCUGAGACACAGCAGUAUUGAAAUUAGGCCAACUCAUAACCCUGCAGUGGCCUCUUAAGUGCUCAAGUGAAAGGAAGAGUCACACAUCUCUCACAUUAUAUCAAACGCUAGAAAUGAUGAAACUUAGUGAGGAAGGCAUGUGGAAAGCCAAGACAGGCUGAAAGCUAGGCCUUUUGCAAACAUUUAGCCAAGUUGUGAAUGAAAAGGAAAAGUUCUUGAAGGAAAUUGAAAGUGGUACUCCAGUGAACACACAAUGAUAAGAAAGCAAAACAGCCUAUCACUGAUACAGAAUUUUUCAUGGUCUGGAUAGAAGAUCAAGCCCGUCAUAACAUUCCCUUAAGCCAAAACCUGGUCCAGAGCAAGGCCCUAACUCUCUUCAAUUCUGUGAAGGCUGAGAGAGGCGAGGAAGCUGCAGAAGAAAAGUUUGAAGCUAGCAGAGGUUGGCUCAUGAGGUUUAAGGAAAGAAGCUGUCUUUAUAACAUCAGAGUGCAAGGUGAAGCAGCAAGUGCUGAUGUAGUAGCUGCAGCAAGUUAUCCAGAAUCUAGCUAAGAUAAUUAAUGAGGGUGGUUAGACUAAACAACAAAUUUUCAACGCAGACAAAACAGCUGUCUAUUGGAAGAGGAUGCCAUCUAGGACUUUCAUAGCCAGAGAGGAAAAGUCAAUGCCUGACUUCAAAGCUUCGAAGGACAGACUGACUAUCUUGUUAGGGGCCAGUGGAGCUGGUGACUUGAAGUUGAAGCCAAUCCUCACUUACCUUUCUGAAAAUCUUAGGAUCCUUAAGAAUUAUGCUAAAUCUACUUUGCCUGUGCUCUAUAAAUGGAACAACAAGCCUGGAUUACAGCACAUCUGUUUACCACAUGGUUUUCUGAAUAUUUUAAGCCCAUUGUUGGGAUCUCCUGCUCAGAAGAAAAGAUUGCUUUCAAAAUAUGACUGCUCAUUGACAAAGCACCUGGUCACCCAAGAGCUCUGAUGGAGAGCAAGAGACACCAGAGAGUUACUGGGAAACUGUGGCAUCUUGUUUCAUAGACCGAAGUAGCCUUUGGUUCAUCCAGGAACAUCCCAUCCUCUGGACCUUCAGGACUGUAUCAUUGGGAGCAGAAAGGGCCAGGAGUGCCACACUAAGAAACAACCACCGGCAGGAACAGACUUGAAAUGGAAGCUGGGCUUGCUCUGAGGCCCUCGGCUGACAGUGACCACACCUGCUGGGUGCUGAGGGCGGUGCACAGGGAGCAGAUGGCCUCUGCAUCUUCGGGGCUUUUCUUCUUUAACUGCAGGAGCUGGGCUGCUUGGAUCAGGGGUUCCAUGGUCUCAGCAACUUCCCUCUGGUGCAGGUUUCUUCCCCGAAGCCACUCCUCCAGCUGACUUAUAUUGUACCUUAGACACAGGAAGAGUGAGCUCUGUUAAACCUGGCCUCCUACUUCACUGGGAAGAGCUCACCUCUUGUGUUUAUUUUGCAGGCCAGCUGCCAUGAGUAUUAUCAUUCUCCUCAUCUUAAUUGUCUCACACGGGCAAAAGCGUGAAAAGUAGCUGGCACUCAAUCACUUUUUGUGAAAUGAGUGGGUGCUUAAAAUCAAGCCAAGAUGAAGUACCUAAAGUGUCUGUACUAAGUUAAUGAGCAAAAAAGGCAUUAACUAUAUUGAAUUAAAACAACUUAACAUUUAACAUUCGCAAACAUGUUUGUACUUCUCUGUGAGCCUUCAUGCCUCUUAAGUCAUUAAUUUUUCUCUCUGACCUAUCCACAUCAUAUUUACAAUCUAUAUAUUAAAGUAUGUAAAUGUGUUUAAGCUCGGAACUAAUUUGUUUACCGGGUCACCAUCUCAGUGUGUGAUGAAUUUCACCAACCAGUAAGAAGGUGAUGGAUUUGAGUCACAUACCGACUGUGACAAGGACAAUCCGUUGGAUUUGGAUUUCAUUUUCAGAGACAAGUGUCCCGUGCCUGACUGGAGCUGGUGUGUGCCAGGCCAAGGCGCCUCUCGUACCUGAGCUGCAUGCCUGUGCUCCAGGAGCAGACGUCCUUCCUCAGAAGCAGGUUGUUGAGAGUCACUGCGCUGAUCAUGUAGAAGAGCUGUUUGAACACCUGGAGGAUGAUCUCGGGGUCCAGGCCCUGGUCGCACAUGACUGUGUGGAAGGAAUUCAUCUGGCGGAUGAUGGCUUCCAGGCAGUAGGAUUUAUCUCCAUCUGCCAGGCUGGAGGUGCGCUUCCGGUAGCCCGUGGGCUUCACCCCAGACAGACCCUGAAUGCUCUCGUUCUCCAACAUGGCAGACACUGAAAGAAAAGCAUGAUUAGAGAAGCUGCAUGUUCCCAAAGAAGAUCUGUUUUCGGGUCACUGAGAUCACACAGUACUCAGGGCUUUGGAAGUGAUCCCACCCAGAGGUGAACAAGGUCGACAUGCUCAGGAACUUACAGCAUUUGGCAUGGAAUUUCUAACCUGUUGAUUUCUACACAGAAUAGGACUUCCACAUAGAAAUCUUGGACUAAACCUGUGGACCAAAUUUUCGCUUAAAUUUAUUGGUGAUGGGCCAGAGGUAAAAGGCACGUACCAGCUUAAUUCUGUACUGGCUUCUGUGCUGAGACCAACAUUUGAGCAACUUGGAUGUAGUCAUGGCCCAGCCACUGACCUGGGCCUGGACCCUGAGAUCAUCCUAUAGUUGUUCAAAUAGCUUUUCUCCAUCAGCCACCGACCAUGUAAAUCUUAGGUGAGCUGGUCUGUCAUACUUACUGCACAGCACUUAACUACGUGUCAGGCACUUUAUAUUCAGUAUUCCUUUUAAUCUUCCAACAACCUAUUUCCUAAUGAGGAAAUUGAGGCAUAAAGAGGUUAAAUAACUUGCCCAAGGUCACCCUGCUAGGAAGUGGCAGGGCCAGGAUUUGAACCCAGGUAUGUCUGAUUCCAGAACUGAUGCUGUUAACCAUCAUCUUACCUGAGUCAUGAAACAUCCCCAGUUCUCCCUAUGUCUGGUGAGAAUAAACUGGCGCCUCAUAGGAGAGUCUCAGACAGGAAGAAGGAUUUGGAAUGAAUCUUAUCCCAAGGGAUGUAUUUCUGGAUGGCAUGUAGGACUCUGUCCUACUUGGAAUUCCCUUAUAACCUACUUGUGUUGUAAGAACCUGGGGAAAGAAUUACUUACAUGGUCCAGGAGACUAUUUCCUCAACAGCCUUUAAGGAGCACAGUGAGUGAUGCAUAUACGUGUCACUUUUCUUGUGACUUAAAAAAUAACUGCUCUUAUUUUCAAAUCCGAUUUCAUGUUAAGUGCCCAAGUGUACUGCUUUGGACAGAAUGUUCAAUAAAUAUUUAUUGCAUGAGUGUUUA